RNAcentral lists this ribosomal RNA (253 nucleotides) under uncultured bacterium. RNAcentral's name for it is "partial 16S ribosomal RNA". It matches the Rfam family "Bacterial small subunit ribosomal RNA", at positions 524 to 776 of the family's 1533-position model. The record is from RNAcentral.
UACGUAGGUGGCGAGCGUUGUCCGGAUUUACUGGGCGUAAAGAGCGCGCAGGCGGUCGUGCAAGUCGCGUGUGAAAGCCCCCGGCUCAACUGGGGAGGGUCACGCGAUACUGCUCGACUCGAAGGCAGGAGAGGGAAGCGGAAUUCCCGGUGUAGUGGUGAAAUGCGCAGAUAUCAGGAGGAACGCCGGUGGCGAAGGCGGUUCUCUGGGAAUAUCCUGACGCUGAGGAGCGAAAGUGUGGGAAGCGAACAGG